Molecule: long non-coding RNA, 1059 nt
Organism: Sciurus carolinensis (gray squirrel)
Lineage: Eukaryota; Metazoa; Chordata; Mammalia; Rodentia; Sciuridae
Exons: 3
Source: RefSeq, a predicted model, not a curated record
UGGGCCUCGUGGAGGACACCAGCAGGCGCCCCUUGCAUGGGAGCUGGGUAAGCCAGGUCCACGCCUCAAGGAAGCACCCUGGUUGGAGACGAAUAACAAUGUUCUGCCAUGAUGCAAUAAGGCUCUGGAGGUGACCAGGUCACAGCCAGCACGGGACAUCCUGUUCUGCCUCCACCACCACUGCAGCAGAAUUCGAGGGGGUGCUCCAGUGAGACCUGCCACGCCCACAGCUGCCACUCUACUCAGAGCUCCGAUGUCCAGACCUUGUGAAUCCACAGGCUCGUGACAGAUGCAUCUCCUCGGGUCAAGCGACCCACCAAUUGUGUUCACAUCUAGUGCUUUUUCUAGAAAUGUCUCCACCUCGAAUUUUAGACCCACCCUGGAUUCAGUCCCUGUGUCCCUAGUACCUUUUAUAUGGCUCACCCUGGGUUGGGGACGUGGGGGGUGGAGUCAAAAGAGGCCUGUGCAUCAGUCUGUCUGGAUGUUGUCGUGGCAGAGCCUGAACAGGGAAGCCUCUGAGCUGCCUUACCUUGUCGCUAACACCACUUUACAGACGCCGUGUUAGAACCCAUUUAAAGCAUUCAAGCAUAUAAUCAAAUUUCAGUAAUGAGUUAUUAAUUAAGCAGGGGCAACCAAUUCUCUACUAACUGCCUCAUAAACAAUCGACAGGAGAUUUGUGAAUUUUGACUUCCUGACACUAUUAAACAAAUCAAUAUUAGGUUUCAGACACAGCAAUUCAGACAGUUUUCUCUGUUAUUUGGCAACCAUCUGCCUGGAAUACUAAUGAAAGAAUUAAGAGCUGGAGAUUUUGCAUGUAUUCCAUCAAAAAGAUCCUUAUCUGUGGGGAAUUGGGGCCUGAUUUGCAUGGAAGAAGACGUCGCUUUUGUAGGUACAAUUUUUCUCAAUAUGUCACUGAUUAGUAUUUAUAAAAGCACUGGGCAGUGGGACGGCCAUCAAGCUUCAUAACAAGCAGGCAGAGUCCUAGUGGAGAUAGCUGAGAACAAAGCAAGACGUUGUUUAUAUAUUUUGCAGACUGGUUAAUUUAUAGCUAAACUAACC